This 201-nucleotide ribosomal RNA is filed under the name uncultured bacterium. RNAcentral's name for it is "partial 16S ribosomal RNA". It matches the Rfam family "Bacterial small subunit ribosomal RNA", at positions 8 to 198 of the family's 1533-position model. The record is from RNAcentral.
AGAGUUUGAUCAUGGCUCAGGAUGAACGCUAGCGGCAGGCCUAACACAUGCAAGUCGAGGGGCAGCACGGUGUAGCAAUACACUGGGUGGGCGACCGGCGCACGGGUGCGUAACGCGUAUGCAACCUACCCGAUAACAGGGGGGAUAAACACUGAGAAAUUGGUACUAAUACCCCAUAACAUCAGGACCGGCAUCGGUUCU